GGUGCCUCUCUGUGGUAGAUGAAGGGAGACUAUGCUGCACAGGGAGACCCAAGCUUCGUCAGAUGCAGAGGUUGGGGAGGACCUUGAACUGAUGGGACCUAGGAUAUCCGGUGAGAGAUGGAGCUAGGGCUGUGUGAACCGAGGGUGGGCCAGUGACCGGGACGUGGGACAGCACCACGGACUGAGAAGCCGCCUGCGGCUGAGGGACACACCAAGGCUGGCCCCGAGGACAGUGGCUUGGCCGUUCGCGGGGGAGGCCGGAGCCGGGUGGGGAGCAGGGCUGGCCGCAGUCCCCCAAGUCGGGGGACAGGGCUGAUUCCAGUCAGGAGAUGGGGCUGAUUUCAGUUCGGAGGCAGGGCUGACCGCAGUCAAGGGACCCAGCUGGCUCCAGAGGAAGGGACUAGCCUCAGAGGAGCCAAGGCUAGCUCCAGCCCAGAGUAAGGGUCUGGCUUCAGUCAGGGGACAGGGACAGGCCGACCGUCGGCUGCGGCGGGGACUGAGGCUCUGAAGCAGCUGCGGUGACACGGCGACUGGCGCUGGAGCGCCUAGGGGCCGUCGGACGCCGCCGGGGCGGGCGGGCAGCCCUGAGGGGAGCGUCUCUCGGUCCUGCGCACCUUGAGGCUCCGGCGGACCGGCCUCUCGAUGAUGGUUGCUCUUCGUCAUCCUGUUUCAUCCUGGCAACAAGAACCCUGACUAUGACAGAAAUCUACCACUGUUUCUGGAGAACAAGGGCACUUAGAUGCAGACUCGCCUAUAGGAAUGCAUAGCCAGAAACUACUGGUGCACCAUAAUGCCAGCAUUUCAGCCUAGGAGAUGACCCCCACAGAUCCAAACAGCCAGUUCAGUAAAAGGAGCUGCAUGCAAAGCAGCAUGCGCACUGCAGGCUGCACAUUCUUGGAGGACCAGAGAUGGGAGGAAAUGCUCCCAGGCGUGCCCUCUGCAGGACAGUGAUGAAACUAGAUGCAUUUUCGUGGACCAGAGUUCCAGGAAAGGAACUGUACCUUUGACUGAGCCCUUGGUAAGGAUGAUUAACUCAGAACCUCCAUGGUUGUGAAGGAUUUCAAAUGCUGCAAGUCCAGAGCCAAAUUCUCUUGGGAUGUCUUUAGCCCUUGUAAUAGCCAUUUUAUUGUCCCUAUCUAUACCCAACAUAACAUGUUUGCUGCCAUUAGGCAAAUCCUUUGGAAUAUGCAAACACCUGGCUCCUACCAACCAAAAGAAGAAUGCCAUUAGUUAGCACCACAGACCUGUGGCAGAAACUCCCCCCUUGGCUU
Meriones unguiculatus (Mongolian gerbil) is the source of this 1271-nucleotide long non-coding RNA. RefSeq lists it as uncharacterized. The transcript has 3 exons. NCBI's taxonomy places the organism in Eukaryota, Metazoa, Chordata, Mammalia, Rodentia, Muridae. The record is from RefSeq and is a predicted model, not a curated record.